This 3128-nucleotide unclassified non-coding RNA is filed under the name Hevea brasiliensis (rubber tree). Lineage: Eukaryota; Viridiplantae; Streptophyta; Magnoliopsida; Malpighiales; Euphorbiaceae. The record is from RNAcentral.
UAAAGCUUUCUCUCACUUUCAGGACAAAAUCACAGAGAGAAAGUAAUCGACGAAGAUGGGGGACCCACUGGAGAGAUUGGGAUCCGAGACUGCCAUGGCUGGCCUCGAAUCCGCCAUCAAGGAGGACCUCUGCAUGGAGAUCGACCCGCCUUUUCGAGAGAGCGUCGCCUCUGCCGAGGACUGGCGGAGGGCUCUAAACAAGGUGGUCCCUGCUGUUGUUGUUCUCCGGACAAAUGCUUGCCGCGCAUUCGAUACUGAGUCCGCCGGUGCUAGUUAUGCUACCGGGUUUGUGGUGGAUAAGCGUCGGGGAAUCAUUCUCACUAAUCGCCACGUCGUCAAGCCCGGACCUGUUGUUGCAGAGGCUAUGUUUCUAAACCGUGAGGAAAUUCCUGUGCAUCCUAUUUAUAGGGAUCCUGUUCAUGAUUUUGGCUUCUUUCGUUACGAUCCUGGUGCAAUCCAAUUUCUGAACUAUGAGGAAAUUCCUCUUGCCCCUGAGGCUGCUUGUGUUGGACUUGAAAUCAGGGUUGUUGGUAAUGAUAGUGGUGAAAAGGUUUCUAUUUUGGCUGGUACUCUUGCUCGUUUGGAUAGAGACGCACCUCACUACAAAAAGGAUGGGUAUAAUGACUUCAAUACAUUCUACAUGCAAGCUGCAUCUGGGACUAAGGGUGGUUCAAGUGGUUCACCAGUAAUUGAUUGGCAAGGCAGGGCAGUGGCCUUGAAUGCUGGCAGCAAGUCUUCUAGUGCUUCUGCAUUUUUCUUACCUUUAGAACGAGUUGUUAGGUCUCUAAGAUUUCUUCAGAAGGGAAGAGAUUCUUAUACAAAUAGAUGGGAGGCUGUUCCUAUACCUCGUGGUACGCUCCAGGUUACAUUUCUCCAUAAAGGAUUUGAUGAGACACGCCGACUCGGUCUUCGUAGUGAAACAGAACAGAUGGUACGGCAUGCAUCUCCCGCUGGGGAAACUGGAAUGCUUGUUGUUGAUUCUGUGGUGCCAGGUGGCCCAGCUCAUAUACAGUUGGAGCCAGGUGAUGUGCUUAUUCGUGUGAAUGGCGAAGUAACUACACAAUUUCUGAAAUUGGAGACUUUGCUUGAUGACUGUGUUAACCAUAAAAUUGAGUUACAAAUUGAAAGAGGCGGCACUUCCUUGACUGUAAACUUGGUGGUUCAGGAUUUACAUUCUAUAACACCUGACUAUUUCUUAGAAGUAAGUGGUGCAGUGAUACAUCCUCUGUCUUACCAACAGGCCAGAAAUUUCCGUUUCCAGUGUGGUCUGGUGUAUGUUUCGGAACCUGGAUAUAUGCUAUUUAGAGCUGGAGUUCCUCGCCAUGCAAUCAUCAAGAAGUUUGCUAAUGAGGAGAUAUCACAGCUGGAUGAACUAAUCUCUGCUCUAUCUAAGUUAUCUAGGGGUGCAAGAGUACCAUUAGAAUACAUAAGCUACGUGGAUCGUCAUCGAAGGAAGUCUGUCCUGGUUACAGUUGAUCGCCAUGAAUGGUAUGCCUCUCCACAGAUAUACACUCGUGAUGACAGAUCUGGUUUGUGGACAGCAAAGCCUGCUAUUCAAUCUGAGUCCUGGAGGCUAUCAUCUUCUAUUAAUGAUAUUGGACAAGGCCCAACUAGGCAAACUGUUUUGCUGGGUGGAGAAGCAACUCAUAUAGAAAAUGUAAAUCAAGAUGACAACCCAGAAAUGGCUGAUGGUGUUGCAAGUAUGGAAACCAGUUCUGAACAUUCUUCUGGGGAGCCACAUUCCCGGGAUGAAUCUGAUGUUGGAACAAAGAAACGAAGGGUAUCAGAUUUGCCUGCCAAUGGAAUUGCUGUUGCUGAUGGUUCCAUACAGCAUGAAACUGGAGAAGUGAAGUUGGACAAUCCAAGUCCCAUCGAGAAUGAAGUUUUAAGAGACUAUCAAGGUGCAAUUGCACCAGCAGUCAAUGCUUCAUUUGCAGAAAGUGUGAUAGAGCCCACUCUUGUAUUGUUUGAGGUUCAUGUUCCACCAUCAGUUAUGAUUGAUGGUGUCCAUUCGCAACAUUUCUUUGGGACUGGUGUUAUUAUUUAUCAUUCUCAAGAUAUGGGAUUGGUUGCAGUUGAUAGGAAUACAGUUGCAAUAUCUGCAUCAGAUGUGAUGCUGUCCUUUGCUGCUUUUCCUAUUGAAAUUCCUGGGGAGGUUGUUUUUCUUCAUCCUGUCCACAAUUAUGCUCUCAUUGCUUAUGACCCGUCGGCCCUAGGAGCUGCUGGUUCCUCAAUGGUUCGAGCUGCUGAAUUGCUUCCUGAGCCAGCAUUGCGUCGUGGGGAUUCGGUCUAUCUUGUGGGGUUAAGUAGAAGCCUGCAAGCAACAUCUAGGAAAUCCAUUGUGACGAACCCUUUUGCUGCUCCUAGGUUGAAUAUUGGCUCAGCUGAUUGCCCACGUUAUAGAGCAACAAAUAUGGAAGUCAUAGAACUCGAUACUGAUUUUGGGAGCACAUUUUCAGGUGUGCUAACUGAUGAGCAUGGAAGGGUUCAAGCCAUCUGGGGAAGCUUCUCAACUCAGUUGAAAUAUGGUUUCAGUACCUCAGAAGAUCAUCAAUUUGUUAGAGGCAUCCCUAUUUAUACAAUCAGUCAAGUUCUUGACAAAAUUGUAAAUGGUGCAAAUGGCCCACCUCUACUCAUAAAUGGUGUCAGAAGGCCAAUGCCACUUGUCAGGAUUAUGGAGGUUGAGCUUUAUCCUACUCUGCUUUCAAAGGCACGGAGUUUUGGUUUGAGCGAUAAUUGGGUCCAAGCUCUUGUCAAGAAAGAUCCAAUUAGACGACAAGUUUUGCGUGUCAAAGGCUGCUUGGCUGGAUCAAAAGCUGAAAAUCUAUUGGAGCAAGGGGACAUGGUUUUGGCAGUCAACAAAGAGCCUGUCACUUGCUUCCGUGAUAUAGAAAAUGCUUGCCAAGCUUUAGACAAGAUCAGCGACAAUGAAGGGAAACUUAGCAUGACCAUUUUUCGACAGGGACGUGAAAUUGAUCUUGUUGUGGGAACAGAUGUUAGGGAUGGGAAUGGUACAACACGUGUAAUAAAUUGGUGUGGUUGCAUUGUUCAGGAUCCUCAUCCAGCGGUUCGUGCUCUUGGAUUUCUUCCUGAAGAGGGUCAUGGUGUGUAUGUGGCUCGGUGGGGUC